AUCAUGGGUUGGAGCUGUAUCAUCCUCUUUCUGGUAGCAACAGCUACAGGUGUGCACUCCCAGGUCCAGCUGCAGCAGUCUGUGGCUGAGCUGGUGAGGCCUGGGGCCUCAGUGAUGAUGUCCUGCAUGGCUUCUGGUUACACAUUCACUGACUACUACAUGCACUGGGUGAAACAGAGUCAUGGAAAGAGCCUAGAGUGGAUUGGAUUUAUUAUUCCGUUCAGUGGUGGUACUAGCUACAAUCAAAAGUUCAAGGGCAAGGCCAUAUUGACUGUAGACAAAUCCUCCAGCACAGCCAACAUGGAGCUUAGCAGAUUGACAUCUGAGGAUUCUUUGGUCUAUUACUGUGCAAAACACAGUGAAGCAACCACAUCCUGA
Mus pahari (shrew mouse) is the source of this 378-nucleotide non-coding RNA. The record is from the annotation of a RefSeq genome assembly. Lineage: Eukaryota; Metazoa; Chordata; Mammalia; Rodentia; Muridae.